UCGACGAACUUCUUUAUCACCGAGUGCUUGCACUCACCGAUAAAGAGUUGAGUGGCGAACGGGUGAGUAACACGUGGGCAACCUGCCCAAAAGAGGGGGAUAACACUUGGAAACAGGUGUUAAUACCGCAUAACCAUAGUUGCCGCAUGGUAACUAUGUAAAAGGUGGCUAUGCUACCGCUUUUGGAUGGGCCCGCGGCGCAUUAGCUAGUUGGUGGGGUAAAGGCUUACCAAGGCAAUGAUGCGUAGCCGAACUGAGAGGUUGAUCGGCCACAUUGGGACUGAGACACGGCCCAAACUCCUACGGGAGGCAGCAGUAGGGAAUCUUCCACAAUGGGCGAAAGCCUGAUGGAGCAACGCCGCGUGGGUGAAGAAGGUCUUCGGAUCGUAAAACCCUGUUGUUAGAGAAGAAAGUGCGUGAGAGUAACUGUUCACGUUUCGACGGUAUCUAACCAGAAAGCCACGGCUAACUACGUGCCAGCAGCCGCGGUAAUACGUAGGUGGCAAGCGUUAUCCGGAUUUAUUGGGCGUAAAGGGAACGCAGGCGGUCUUUUAAGUCUGAUGUGAAAGCCUUCGGCUUAACCGGAGUAGUGCAUUGGAAACUGGGAGACUUGAGUGCACGAGAGGAGAGUGGAACUCCAUGUGUAGCGGUGAAAUGCGUAGAUAUAUGGAAGAACACCAGUGGCGAAAGCGGCUCUCUGGUCUGUA
RNAcentral lists this ribosomal RNA (707 nucleotides) under uncultured bacterium. Its description in RNAcentral is "bacterial SSU rRNA". It matches the Rfam family "Bacterial small subunit ribosomal RNA", at positions 62 to 738 of the family's 1533-position model. The record is from RNAcentral.